UAUCUCAUAUUCAGACACAACACUUUUCUGAGCUGCGGCUCACAUGUGUGCGUGUGCUUUCCAAAUGAAUUUGGAAUUGACAAAAAUUUCCAAAGCCAAAUUACUAGUGUGUCUCUGUGAAAUUAGGUUCUUGACCCCUGCUUCUGAUGUAUGCUUAUUUUUCUCCACAUUUUCUCCUUCAAUUUUAUGCAUCGCUAUUCACUGCUGGGACCACUGACGUGGCUUUCCCAAAAGGGGCUAGCUGCUGCUGAUGGAGAUUUAAUAGGCAUGAAGACAUCAACAUUUAGACAGUCCAAUUCAAUCUGCCUGCAACCAACUCUGAGAAGAACGAAUAUCACUACCUACAAACUUUAUCAGCAAUUUGCCUUCCUUUCUCCCUGCCAACUGUUUCACAGAACCUAACACAGAGAAGCACACAAGCACAGGAGGUCCUUGGGAUGCAAAGCCGGGAAGAAAGGCUAUCGCCCGAGUUCCUGAGAGCAAGACCCAGUGAGUAUUCAUAAAGUUAGGCUAGAGAUAGACUAAUACCCUGAAAGGGCUUCUUCUCCUAUUUUAGACAUAAUCUGAGCAUAACGCAACCUGAUCCCCAAAUGAAUUGAAGAUAAUUCAACAGGGAAUAGCAUUUGUCAUACAGAUACUUUGCAUAGAAGAAUGACCAUCUUCCUAACCUUAGUAAAAACCUUCAUCUCAAGAGCUACCUUCCUUUCUGAGACCCCGGUUGCUGACAACCUUAAAUUGCAUAUUGCUUAAGAAGAAAGAGAGCUGAUUUAAAUAACAUUUGCCAUAUAAUUAUUGCAAACGUAUUCAGUUAAGCUAAUAUAAAAUCAACUCCCUUCUAGUCAUUGGGGAUUGGCCCAUUGCAUUCAUUUGGAAGGCAAAAUUUAUAUAAAAGAUGCUAGCUGCCUGAGGGUGUGUUAAUUGCUUAAAGAAAUUUUGUGUUUUGUUUUUUUAUAAUAAAGAAAUAUUCCAGGGGAAAAAAGAAACGAGAAGCACAAAAGAGAGAUCCAUAAAUAUGAGGGGAAGACGUGGCAGUGUGCAAAGCUGUAAUCAGAGUUUUCAACCUGUCAAGAGAGAAAGGAACGAGUAGAAAUAGUCAUUAAGUGGCAGUGUUGGGAGACUUACAAAAAAAUACUUCACACAUUGAUCUUCCAUGGAUGCUUUCCAUACGCCAUCUAUUAGAAUCUUUUGACCUUUUCCUAACACUAUUAAAAGAUAAAAUGUUAAUCUA
This is a long non-coding RNA of Varanus komodoensis (Komodo dragon), 1228 nucleotides long. RefSeq lists it as uncharacterized. Lineage: Eukaryota; Metazoa; Chordata; Lepidosauria; Squamata; Varanidae. The record is from RefSeq and is a predicted model, not a curated record. The transcript has 3 exons.